CGUACUUACUCAAUUUUUUUAUUUUCUAAAUUUCGUAACGAGCUAAAAUACUUAGAGAUGUGGUAACACGCGAAAGAAAAACUAAACUCCAAAAAAAUUACAAUGAAAAGCACAAUUUUGUUAUUACCUUUACUAAUGCCUCUAUUGUUGGUGUCUGCAGAUAUUAAAAAAGCAAUAAAUGAUGAAGAACAAGAUCAUCAACUAAAUCCCUGGGAAGGUAUACAGGACGUGAUUAAAUUGAGAGACAAAUUUUUCUUCGAAUUUAUAAGCAGAUUUGCCUUGUACUGGCUGAAAAAUAUUACCAAGUUGAGGGUCGAAAUAGAAAAUUUUGUACUUCUUUCUUAUAAAACGACCAAGAGCUUUGGUAGAAUAAUAAACAAAUAUUAUUCUAAUUUACUCAAGGCAUUGUUUGAUUCAUUUGAAGAGGCAUUACGUGUAAUUGAUCCAGAAGAUGAUAAGAAAGGUCACAGUGGUCAUCGCAAGUCUAGUAAACCUAAGCCUCCAUUAGAUAACUUAACGAAGGUAGAAAGUUAAAGAGAUAAUAAUGUGUGAAAUUAACAACAAUAAUAAAAAUGUAAGUACAUAUAUAUUCUAAAAAUAAAUAAAUAAUGUUUAAUAAACUCA
Agrilus planipennis (emerald ash borer) is the source of this 624-nucleotide long non-coding RNA. RefSeq lists it as uncharacterized. The record is from RefSeq and is a predicted model, not a curated record. The transcript is spliced from 2 exons. Lineage: Eukaryota; Metazoa; Arthropoda; Insecta; Coleoptera; Buprestidae.